UCUGUGUGGGGGAUAACUAUUGGAAACGAUAGCUAAUACCGCAUAAUGUCUACGGACCAAAGCGGGCUUCGGCUCGUGCGCAGAGAGGAACCUAAGCGAGAUUAGCUAGUUGGUGAGGUAAAGGCUCACCAAGGCGACGAUCUCUAGCUGUUCUGAGAGGAAGAUCAGCCACACUGGAACUGAGACACGGUCCAGACUCCUACGGGAGGCAGCAGUGGGGAAUAUUGCACAAUGGGGGAAACCCUGAUGCAGCCAUGCCGCGUGUGUGAAGAAGGCCUUCGGGUUGUAAAGCACUUUCAGUUGUGAGGAAAGUUUAGUAGUUAAUACCUGCUAGAU
Molecule: ribosomal RNA, 336 nt
Filed under: uncultured Alteromonadaceae bacterium
Lineage: Bacteria; Pseudomonadati; Pseudomonadota; Gammaproteobacteria; Alteromonadales; Alteromonadaceae
Description: bacterial SSU rRNA
Rfam family: Bacterial small subunit ribosomal RNA
Source: RNAcentral